This 253-nucleotide ribosomal RNA is filed under the name uncultured bacterium. RNAcentral describes it as "partial 16S ribosomal RNA". It matches the Rfam family "Bacterial small subunit ribosomal RNA", at positions 524 to 776 of the family's 1533-position model. The record is from RNAcentral.
UACGUAGGUGGCAAGCGUUGUCCGGAUUUAUUGGGUUUAAAGGGUGCGUAGGUGGUCUAUUAAGUCAGUGCUGAAAUAUCCCGGCUUAACCGGGAGGGUGGCAUUGAUACUGAUGGACUUGAGUAAAGUUGAGGUGGGCGGAAUUGACGGUGUAGCGGUGAAAUGCGUAGAUAUCGGGAGGAACACCUGUGGCGAAGGCGGCCCCCUGGUUGGAUACUGACGCUGAUACGCGAAAGCGUGGGGAGCAAACAGG